This 281-nucleotide ribosomal RNA is filed under the name uncultured bacterium. RNAcentral describes it as "partial 16S ribosomal RNA". It matches the Rfam family "Bacterial small subunit ribosomal RNA", at positions 335 to 607 of the family's 1533-position model. The record is from RNAcentral.
ACUCCUACGGGAGGCAGCAGUGGGGAAUAUUGCACAAUGGGCGCAAGCCUGAUGCAGCCAUGCCGCGUGUGUGAAGAAGGCCUUCGGGUUGUAAAGCACUUUCAGUGGGGAGGAAAGGAUUGAUGGUUAAUACCUAUCAGCUGUGACGUUACCCACAGAAGAAGCACCGGCUAACUCCGUGCCAGCAGCCGCGGUAAUACGGAGGGUGCAAGCGUUAAUCGGAAUUACUGGGCGUAAAGCGUGCGCAGGCGGUCUGUUAAGCGAGAUGUGAAAGCCCCGGC